This 433-nucleotide ribosomal RNA is filed under the name uncultured bacterium. Its description in RNAcentral is "partial 16S ribosomal RNA". It matches the Rfam family "Bacterial small subunit ribosomal RNA", at positions 29 to 506 of the family's 1533-position model. The record is from RNAcentral.
AGCGAACGCUGGCGGCAGGCCUAACACAUGCAAGUCGAACGAACCUUUCGGGGUUAGUGGCGGACGGGUGAGUAACACGUGGGAACGUGCCUUUAGGUUCGGAAUAACUCAGGGAAACUUGUGCUAAUACCGAAUGUGCCCUUCGGGGGAAAGAUUAAUCGCCUUUAGAGCGGCCCGCGUCUGAUUAGCUAGUUGGUUGAGGUAAUGGCUCACCAAGGCGACGAUCAGUAGCUGGUCUGAGAGGAUGAUCAGCCACAUUGGGACUGAGACACGGCCCAAACUCCUACGGGAGGCAGCAGGGGGGAAUCUUGCGCAAUGGGCGAAAGCCUGACGCAGCCAUGCCGGGGGAAUGAUGAAGGUCUUAGGAUUGUAAAAUUCUUUCACCGGGGACGAUAAUGACGGUACCCGGAGAAGAAGCCCCGGCUAACUUCGU